Molecule: ribosomal RNA, 465 nt
Filed under: Vreelandella stevensii
Lineage: Bacteria; Pseudomonadati; Pseudomonadota; Gammaproteobacteria; Oceanospirillales; Halomonadaceae
Description: partial 16S ribosomal RNA
Rfam family: Bacterial small subunit ribosomal RNA
Source: RNAcentral
CCUACGGGUGGCAGCAGUGGGGAAUAUUGGACAAUGGGCGAAAGCCUGAUCCAGCCAUGCCGCGUGUGUGAAGAAGGCCUUCGGGUUGUAAAGCACUUUCAGUGGGGAAGAAAGCCUUGGGGCUAAUAUCCUCGAGGAAGGACAUCACCCACAGAAGAAGCACCGGCUAACUCCGUGCCAGCAGCCGCGGUAAUACGGAGGGUGCGAGCGUUAAUCGGAAUUACUGGGCGUAAAGCGCGCGUAGGCGGUCUGAUAAGCCGGUUGUGAAAGCCCCGGGCUCAACCUGGGAACGGCAUCCGGAACUGUCAGGCUAGAGUGCAGGAGAGGAAGGUAGAAUUCCCGGUGUAGCAGUGAAAUGCGUAGAGAUCGGGAGGAAUACCAGUGGCGAAGGCGGCCUUCUGGACUGACACUGACGCUGAGGUGCGAAAGCGUGGGUAGCAAACAGGAUUAGAUACCCCAGUAGUC